This 308-nucleotide ribosomal RNA is filed under the name Formica fusca complex sp. MAS-2009. RNAcentral describes it as "partial 28S ribosomal RNA". Lineage: Eukaryota; Metazoa; Arthropoda; Insecta; Hymenoptera; Formicidae. The record is from RNAcentral.
GUCGAACGUCGCGACCCGCUGGGUGUCGGUUUACGGCCCGGGNGNGGGGACUGUNGGGUNNCCGGUAAAACGGCACGCGACAAACCCCCGGUCGCCCGGCCGGCUGCUCGGCGGUACGCGCAAGGUAUCAGGCCCGACUGUUUACGGUGCGUCGAGGCCGUCGCANGCGCGCGCCACGGUACUCGGAGGUUACGGACUUUGCGCCGUCCCCGGUCCUGGCCCGCUGUUGGUUAAAGUACGGCUCACCUUCGACAGGCCUGUCGAACGUCCCUCUCCCUCCCUUGUGAGUGACGAGGGGGAUCUAUACC